AACCUGCGGAAGGGAUCAUUA
This 21-nucleotide ribosomal RNA is filed under the name Gymnopus macropus. RNAcentral describes it as "partial 18S ribosomal RNA". Lineage: Eukaryota; Fungi; Basidiomycota; Agaricomycetes; Agaricales; Omphalotaceae. RNAcentral also lists the same sequence under 4 other names. The record is from RNAcentral.